Molecule: unclassified non-coding RNA, 1496 nt
Filed under: Hevea brasiliensis (rubber tree)
Lineage: Eukaryota; Viridiplantae; Streptophyta; Magnoliopsida; Malpighiales; Euphorbiaceae
Source: RNAcentral
AUUAUUAUUAUUAUUAUUAUUUAUGGCAUCUAUUGCACUCAGGGGGAGGCUAUGUCUACACUUGUGGGCCAUACACAACGUGUAUCCUCUGUUGUUUGGCCAGAACAUGAAACAAUCUACUCUGCAUCAUGGGAUCACUCUAUCAGACGUUGGGAUGUUGAGACAGGCCAAGAUUCAGCAAAAAUAUUCUGUGGAAAAGCUCUCAACUACCUUCAUGUUGGAGGUGAAGGUUCAGCUCUCAUUGCUGCUGGGGCCUCUGACCCCAUCCUUAGGAUAUGGGAUCCACGAAAACCAGGAACUCCUGCUCCUAUUUAUCAGUUCUCUUCUCACACUUCUUGGGUUUCGGCUUGCAAGUGGCAUGAUAAAUCUUGGUUUCAUUUACUUUCUGCAUCCUAUGAUGGGAAAGUUAUGUUGUGGGAUCUAAGAACUGCGGUAGUGUAUGCUCUUUUACUUUCAACUAUCUCUGGCUUUGCCUAGACCAAAUAAACAAGUGAAGUGACUUAGUUUCACUCUUCUGCAUUGCAAUUCUGAGUAGCAUAGUAGUGUUCUGAAUAGUUUGUUGUCAUUGCAGUGGCCUCUGGCUGUUAUUGAAUCACACGAAGACAAGGUGCUAUGUGUUGAUUGGUGGAGGGGUGACAAUUUAGUCAGUGGUGGGGUUGACUGCAAGCUAUGCAUUUCUUCUGAUUCUUCUGUGCAGUAAGGUAAGAAUUGUAAUGCAUUUAUUUGGCUAUAGAUAUGUUAUAAAUUUAGUUUAAAAAAUGGCUUCUCUUCCCAUCCCAAUGCUUUUUCCUCUCUUUUGACAUUGCAUUCUGGGCAUAAGGUGUAUGACAGUAUUUGUGUGUCUUAAGUUUGGAUGAGGUCAGGCUACUGCUAUUUGGAAGCUGCUUUGUUCCCCCCUUUUCUCUUUUAGAAGGGAAGAGUUAAAAGCACUUCACUUGUUUUCCUUUGUAUUUUGAGAAUAUGCUUGUUUGAAACAAGUCACCUUUGGCAGAUAGUAAGCUUGCAUAUGCUUAAAAUGCAACAUGAUCAUUUUAGGUAUUUUACUUGCCUAUCCAUUGUUCAGUUCUUGAUGGGUGCAGUUGUUGUUAUCUUUUGAUUAAUAACUCCACCGUUUGAAUCCAUUGAUUGCGUUCUGGAGUAUGCUUUUACUUUUGUGACUGAAACUUCUUCUGUAUUGGAUGACUGAAGAAUGUUAAUAUAGCUGGAAAAUGUGUCAUUCAUUACCCCAUUAAAUGACUAAACUUCUGUGUCUUUUUUCUUCUUAAGGGAAGAAUUAUAGAGAUAGAUGGAAGUAACUUCUGGAGAAGGUGUUUUUGAUACUGAAGGAACAUUUUCUGUCUCGGCCUUGUUAACUCAAGCGAGAUGGGGAAACCUGAUUCUGCAUCAACUGCGGAGCUGAAGCUGAUUGAAGAGUUUAAACUCUAGUCAAUUUUGUUCAAGACGCUUUGAUGUAAUGUGAAUAGUAGCAACUCUGAUUUAGUGUUUUUUUUUUUUUU